GACGAACGCUGGCGGCGUGCCUAAUACAUGCAAGUAGAACGCUGAAGAGAGGAGCUUACUCUUCUUGGAUGAGUUGCGAACGGGUGAGUAACGCGUAGGUAACCUGCCUUGUAGCGGGGGAUAACUAUUGGAAACGAUAGCUAAUACCGCAUAACAAUGGAUGACACAUGUCAUUUAUUUGAAAGGGGCAAUUGCUCCACUACAAGAUGGACCUGCGUUGUAUUAGCUAGUAGGUGAGGUAAUGGCUCACCUAGGCGACGAUACAUAGCCGACCUGAGAGGGUGAUCGGCCACACUGGGACUGAGACACGGCCCAGACUCCUACGGGAGGCAGCAGUAGGGAAUCUUCGGCAAUGGGGGCAACCCUGACCGAGCAACGCCACGUGAGUGAAGAAGGUUUUCGGAUCGUAAAGCUCUGUUGUAAGUCAAGAACGGGUGUGAGAGUGGAAAGUUCACACUGUGACGGUAGCUUACCAGAAAGGGACGGCUAACUACGU
This 496-nucleotide ribosomal RNA is filed under the name uncultured bacterium. Its description in RNAcentral is "partial 16S ribosomal RNA". It matches the Rfam family "Bacterial small subunit ribosomal RNA", at positions 28 to 506 of the family's 1533-position model. The record is from RNAcentral.